GAAUUCAGACAAACUCCGAAUGCCAAUUAAUUUAACUUGGGAGUCAGAACAUGGGUGAUAAGGUCCGUGUUCGAAAGGGAAACAGCCCAGACCACCAGCUAAGGUCCCAAAAUAUAUGUUAAGUGGAAAAGGAUGUGGCGUUGCCCAGACAACUAGGAUGUUGGCUUAGAAGCAGCCAUCAUUUAAAGAGUGCGUAAUAGCUCACUAGUCGAGUGACACUGCGCCGAAAAUGUACCGGGGCUAAACAUAUUACCGAAGCUGUGGAUUGUCCUUUGGACAAUGGUAGGAGAGCGUUCUAAGGGCGUUGAAGCAUGAUCGUAAGGACAUGUGGAGCGCUUAGAAGUGAGAAUGCCGGUGUGAGUAGCGAAAGACGGGUGAGAAUCCCGUCCACCGAUUGACUAAGGUUUCCAGAGGAAGGCUCGUCCGCUCUGGGUUAGUCGGGUCCUAAGCUGAGGCCGACAGGCGUAGGCGAUGGAUAACAGGUUGAUAUUCCUGUACCACCUAUAAUCGUUUUAAUCGAUGGGGGGACGCAGUAGGAUAGGCGAAGCGUGCGAUUGGAUUGCACGUCUAAGCAGUAAGGCUGAGUAUUAGGCAAAUCCGGUACUCGUUAAGGCUGAGCUGUGAUGGGGAGAAGACAUUGUGUCUUCGAGUCGUUGAUUUCACACUGCCGAGAAAAGCCUCUAGAUAGAAAAUAGGUGCCCGUACCGCAAACCGACACAGGUAGUCAAGAUGAGAAUUCUAAGGUGAGCGAGCGAACUCUCGUUAAGGAACUCGGCAAAAUGACCCCGUAACUUCGGGAGAAGGGGUGCUCUUUAGGGUUAACGCCCAGAAGAGCCGCAGUGAAUAGGCCCAAGCGACUGUUUAUCAAAAACACAGGUCUCUGCUAAACCGUAAGGUGAUGUAUAGGGGCUGACGCCUGCCCGGUGCUGGAAGGUUAAGAGGAGUGGUUAGCUUCUGCGAAGCUACGAAUCGAAGCCCCAGUAAACGGCGGCCGUAACUAUAACGGUCCUAAGGUAGCGAAAUUCCUUGUCGGGUAAGUUCCGACCCGCACGAAAGGCGUAACGAUUUGGGCACUGUCUCAACGAGAGACUCGGUGAAAUCAUAGUACCUGUGAAGAUGCAGGUUACCCGCGACAGGACGGAAAGACCCCGUGGAGCUUUACUGUAGCCUGAUAUUGAAAUUCGGCACAGCUUGUACAGGAUAGGUAGGAGCCUUUGAAACGUGAGCGCUAGCUUACGUGGAGGCGCUGGUGGGAUACUACCCUAGCUGUGUUGGCUUUCUAACCCGCACCACUUAUCGUGGUGGGAGACAGUGUCAGGCGGGCAGUUUGACUGGGGCGGUCGCCUCCUAAAAGGUAACGGAGGCGCUCAAAGGUUCCCUCAGAAUGGUUGGAAAUCAUUCAUAGAGUGUAAAGGCAUAAGGGAGCUUGACUGCGAGACCUACAAGUCGAGCAGGGUCGAAAGACGGACUUAGUGAUCCGGUGGUUCCGCAUGGAAGGGCCAUCGCUCAACGGAUAAAAGCUACCCCGGGGAUAACAGGCUUAUCUCCCCCAAGAGUUCACAUCGACGGGGA
RNAcentral lists this ribosomal RNA (1572 nucleotides) under Staphylococcus aureus. Its description in RNAcentral is "partial 23S ribosomal RNA". It matches the Rfam family "Bacterial large subunit ribosomal RNA", at positions 941 to 2514 of the family's 2925-position model. The record is from RNAcentral. Lineage: Bacteria; Bacillati; Bacillota; Bacilli; Caryophanales; Staphylococcaceae.